GCCUCUAUGGCUCAGUUGGCAGAGCGUUGGUCUAGUAAACCAAAGGUCCGGAGUUCGACUCUCCGUGGAGGCA
Non-coding RNA from Zophobas morio, 73 nucleotides. The record is from the annotation of a RefSeq genome assembly. NCBI's taxonomy places the organism in Eukaryota, Metazoa, Arthropoda, Insecta, Coleoptera, Tenebrionidae.